This 253-nucleotide ribosomal RNA is filed under the name uncultured bacterium. Its description in RNAcentral is "partial 16S ribosomal RNA". It matches the Rfam family "Bacterial small subunit ribosomal RNA", at positions 524 to 776 of the family's 1533-position model. The record is from RNAcentral.
UACAGAGGGUGCGAGCGUUGUUCGGAAUUAUUGGGCGUAAAGGGCGCGUAGGCGGCCUUCUAAGUCGAACGUGAAAUCCCCGGGCUCAACCCGGGAACUGCGUCCGAGACUGGAAGGCUCGAAUCCGGGAGAGGGAUGUGGAAUUCCAGGUGUAGCGGUGAAAUGCGUAGAUAUCUGGAGGAACAUCGGUGGCGAAGGCGGCAUCCUGGACCGGUAUUGACGCUGAGGCGCGAAAGCCAGGGGAGCAAACGGG